RNAcentral lists this non-coding RNA (96 nucleotides) under Candidatus Brevifilum fermentans. Its description in RNAcentral is "Brevefilum fermentans Glycine riboswitch aptamer". It matches the Rfam family "Glycine riboswitch aptamer". From Rfam's summary of the family: This family represents the bacterial glycine riboswitch. Glycine riboswitches usually consist of two metabolite-binding aptamers domains with similar structures in tandem. The aptamers cooperatively bind glycine to regulate the expression of downstream genes. The record is from Rfam by way of RNAcentral. Lineage: Bacteria; Bacillati; Chloroflexota; Anaerolineae; Anaerolineales; Anaerolineaceae.
AGAUGUUAAUGGAGAGAGACCGUGUGCGUGACGGCGGCACCGAAGGGGCAAGGUUUGUCAACCGAAACUCUCAGGUAAAAAGACCCAUUAAACAGA